RNAcentral lists this ribosomal RNA (102 nucleotides) under Staphylococcus epidermidis. RNAcentral's name for it is "partial 23S ribosomal RNA". It matches the Rfam family "Bacterial large subunit ribosomal RNA", at positions 2826 to 2925 of the family's 2925-position model. Lineage: Bacteria; Bacillati; Bacillota; Bacilli; Caryophanales; Staphylococcaceae. The record is from RNAcentral.
UUAUAAGAUCCCUCGAAGAUGACGAGGUUAAUAGGUUCGAGGUGGAAGCGUGGUGACACGUGGAGCUGACGAAUACUAAUCGAUCGAAGACUUAAUCAAUUU